Molecule: long non-coding RNA, 108 nt
Organism: Aricia agestis (brown argus)
Lineage: Eukaryota; Metazoa; Arthropoda; Insecta; Lepidoptera; Lycaenidae
Exons: 3
Source: RefSeq, a predicted model, not a curated record
UAAUACUAGAGUAGAAAUGUUUUACAAACAAUUCUCAGAAACACGUAACCACUUGAUAGUUCAAAAGACGAUGUCAAGUCAUUAUGCCAUUAUGUCAUUAUGCAUGGC